This 1926-nucleotide long non-coding RNA is filed under the name Salmo salar (Atlantic salmon). RNAcentral describes it as "lncRNA (ENSSSAG00000090258.1, ENSSSAG00020013856.1)". The record is from RNAcentral. Lineage: Eukaryota; Metazoa; Chordata; Actinopteri; Salmoniformes; Salmonidae.
CAGAGAGAGGUAGAGAGAAAGAGGGAGUGUGCAAGAGAGCGGGACUCUCUAGGCUACUCUCCUACACAAUAAGUCCGCAACAGGAAAGGCUCCUUACCCCUGCUCUGCGCUUGGUGUGCUGUAGCUCCUCAGGAACAUAUGGAGGAUCUGCGUAGGGUGUGUGUGUGUGUGUGUGUGUGUGUGUGUCGGUGUGUUUCGGUGUGUGCGGUGUUGUGUUCUUGACCACGGUACCUCACCAGAUGCUCAGUGUUUAAGCUGUGAACAAGGAGUAAUCUGCGGAACCAUCUCAGCGCACUGAGACACAAACAAACAGUCUUCUCUCUAAAGUGUGUGUUGGAAUUGAAUAUUGCUUUUGUAAUCUCGCAGACGGAAGGCCUUUGGUCAUGCAUUGGGUUCUGAUGGCUGGUGCUGAUGCAGACUGGUAACACGCACCUCAGGGCUAGUGCGAGGAGCAGGAACAGGACGUACUGGACGGGCCAGGCGCACUGGAGGCCUAAUGCAUGGAACUGGCUUUGGAGGUGCCAGUUCCAUAGCCGAUCAUUGAGAGUAUCUCUACCGCUCCUGCUGUCUCUAGAGAGUUGAAAACAGCAGGUCUGGGACAGGUAGCAGUCCGGUGAACAGGCCAGGGUUCCAUAGCCGCAGGCAGAACAGUUGAAACUGGAGCCGCAGCACGGCCAGGUGGACUGGGGACAGCAAGGAGUCAUCAUGCCAGGUAGCCCUGAGGCAUGGUCCUAGGGCUCAGGUCCUCCGAGAGAAAGAAAGAAAGAGAGAAAGAAUUAGAGAGAGCAUACUUAAAUUCACACAGGACACCAGAUAAGACAGGCGAAAUACUCCAGAUAUAACAGACUGACCCUAGCCCCCUGACACAUAAACUACUGCAGCAUAAACACCGGAGGCUGAGACAGGAGGGGUCAGGAGACACUGUGGCCCCAUCCAAUGAUACCCCUAGACAGGGCCAAACAAGCAGGAUAUAACCCCACCCACUUUGCCAAAGCACAGCCCCCACACCACUAGAGGGAUACCUUCAACCACCAACUUACCAUCCUGAGACAAGGCCGAGUAUAGCCCACAAAGAUCUCCGCCACGGCACAACCCAAGGGGGGGGGGGCAACCCAGACAGGAAGACCACGUCAGUGACUCAACCCACUCAAGUGACGCACCCCUCCUAGGGACGGCAUGGAAGAGCACCAGUAAGCCAGUGACUCAGCCCCUGUAAUAGGGUUAGAGGCAGAGAAUCCCAGUGGAGAGAGGGGAACCGGCCAGGCAGAGACAGCAAGGGCGGUUCGUUGCUCCAGAGCCUUUCUGUUCACCUUCCCACUCCUGGGCCAGACUACACUCAAUCAUAGGACCUACUGAAGAGAUGAGUCUUCAGUAAAGACUUAAAGGUUGAGACCGAGUCUGCGUCUCUCACAUGGGUAGGCAGACCAUUCCAUAAAAAUGGAGCUCUAUAGGAGAACACCCUGCCUCCAGCUGUUUGCUUAGAAAUUCUAGGGACAAUUAGGAGGCCUGCGUCUUGUGACCGUAGCGUACGUGUAGGUAUGUGCGGCACUACCAAAUCGGAAAGAUAGGUAGGAGCAAGCCCAUGUAAUGCUUUGUAGGUUAGCAGUAAAACCUUGAAAUCAGCCCUUGCCUUAACAGGAAGCCAGUCUAGGGAGGCUAGCACUAGAGUAAUAUGAUCAAAUCUUUACCAUUAUGGAAAUGUCAGGCAGGGUUACUUUAAGAAAUGAGGAGAUGGGAAACUCUAUUGGAUUCGUAUUAACGGACAUUGUGAACGAUGCCCUAUGUUGUCAAUGGAGAUUCUGGGACAAAAAGUGCACUCCUUCAAUGAGUGAAUGGGAGUCAACUGGGUGCUAGCUCAAAAAAGAAAUAUUAGCAUGAAUUACGUGAACAAGAAGCACAACAUUAAAAAUAUUUUCCGAGAUGUGA